AACGAACGCUGGCGGCAGGCUUAACACAUGCAAGUCGAACGCUCGACCUUCGGGUCGGGAGUGGCAGACGGGUGAGUAACGCGUGGGAACGUACCCUUCGGUUCGGGAUAACCCAGGGAAACGUUGGGCUAAUACCGGAUACGUCCUGGCCUGGAGACAGGGUGGGAGAAAGGUUUACUGCCGAAGGAUCGGCCCGCGUCGGAUUAGCUAGUUGGUGGGGUAACGGCCCGACCAAGGCGACGAUCCGUAGCUGGUCUGAGAGGAUGA
Molecule: ribosomal RNA, 267 nt
Filed under: uncultured bacterium
Lineage: Bacteria
Description: partial 16S ribosomal RNA
Rfam family: Bacterial small subunit ribosomal RNA
Source: RNAcentral